AUUGAACGCUGGCGGCAUGCCUUACACAUGCAAGUCGAACGGUAACAGGUCUUCGGAUGCUGACGAGUGGCGAACGGGUGAGUAAUACAUCGGAACGUGCCUAGUAGUGGGGGAUAACUACUCGAAAGAGUGGCUAAUACCGCAUGAGAUCUACGGAUGAAAGCAGGGGAUCGCAAGACCUUGUGCUACUAGAGCGGCCGAUGGCAGAUUAGGUAGUUGGUGGGAAAAAAGCUACCAAGCCGACGAUCUGUAGCUGGGCUGAGAGGACGAUCAGCCACACUGGGACUGAGACCCGGCCCAGACUCCUACGGGAGGCAGCAGUGGGGAAUUUUGGACAAUGGGCGCAAGCCUGAUCCAGCAAAGCCGCGUGCAGGAUGAAGGCCUUCGGGUUGUAAACUGCUUUUGUACGGAACGAAAAGCCCUGGGUUAAUACCCUGGGGUCAUGGCGGUACCGUAAGAAUAAGCACCGGCUAACUACGUGCCAGCCGCCGCAGUAA
This 497-nucleotide ribosomal RNA is filed under the name uncultured bacterium. RNAcentral describes it as "partial 16S ribosomal RNA". It matches the Rfam family "Bacterial small subunit ribosomal RNA", at positions 30 to 523 of the family's 1533-position model. The record is from RNAcentral.